CCUACGGGUGGCAGCAGUGGGGAAUAUUGGGCAAUGGGCGCAAGCCUGACCCAGCAAUGCCGCGUGAAGGAAGAAGGCUUUCGGGUUGUAAACUUCUUUGACAGGGGAAGAGCAGAAGACGGUACCCUGAAAACAAGCCACGGCUAACUACGUGCCAGCAGCCGCGGUAAUACGUAGGUGGCAAGCGUGUUCCGGAUUGACUGGGUGUAAAGGGCGUGUAGCCGGGAAGGCAAGUCAGAUGUGAAAUCUGGAGGCUCAACCUCCAAAUUGCAUUUGAACCUGUGUUUCUUGAGUACUGGAGAGGCAGACGGAAUUCCUUGUGUAGCGGUGAAAUGCGUAGAUAUAAGGAGGAACACCAGUGGCGAAGGCGGUCUGCUGGACAGCAACUGACGGUGAGGCGCGAAAGCGUGGGGAACAAACAGGAUUAGAUACCCUUGUAGUC
This 442-nucleotide ribosomal RNA is filed under the name uncultured bacterium. RNAcentral's name for it is "partial 16S ribosomal RNA". It matches the Rfam family "Bacterial small subunit ribosomal RNA", at positions 338 to 795 of the family's 1533-position model. The record is from RNAcentral.